AAGAGACUGCCGGUGUUAAACCGGAGGAAGUGGGGAUGACGUCAAGUCCUCAUGGCCUUUAUGCUUAGGGCUACACACGUGCUACAAUGGGUGGUACAAAGAGAAGCCAACUCGCGAGAGCGCGCCAAUCUCAAAAAGCCAUCCUCAGUUCGGAUUGGAGUCUGCAACUCGACUCCAUGAAGUUGGAAUCGCUAGUAAUCGCGGAUCAGCAUGCCGCGGUGAAUACGUUCCCGGGCCUU
Molecule: ribosomal RNA, 239 nt
Filed under: uncultured Smithella sp.
Lineage: Bacteria; Pseudomonadati; Thermodesulfobacteriota; Syntrophia; Syntrophales; Smithellaceae
Description: partial 16S ribosomal RNA
Rfam family: Bacterial small subunit ribosomal RNA
Source: RNAcentral